RNAcentral lists this ribosomal RNA (253 nucleotides) under uncultured bacterium. RNAcentral describes it as "partial 16S ribosomal RNA". It matches the Rfam family "Bacterial small subunit ribosomal RNA", at positions 524 to 776 of the family's 1533-position model. The record is from RNAcentral.
GACAGAGGGUGCAAACGUUGCUCGGAAUCACUGGGCGUAAAGGGCGCGUAGGCGGGGAUGUAAGUCGGGCGUGAAAUCCCUAGGCUCAACCUAGGAACUGCACUCGAAACUGCGUUUCUUGAGUAUCGGAGAGGAAAGCGGAAUUCCUGGUGUAGAGGUGAAAUUCGUAGAUAUCAGGAGGAACACCAGUGGCGAAGGCGGCUUUCUGGACGGUAACUGACGCUGAGGCGCGAAAGCGUGGGGAGCAAACAGG